Molecule: unclassified non-coding RNA, 377 nt
Filed under: uncultured Alphaproteobacteria bacterium
Lineage: Bacteria; Pseudomonadati; Pseudomonadota; Alphaproteobacteria
Description: contains 16S-23S intergenic spacer region
Source: RNAcentral
UCCGGCUUAUCACCGGCAGUUUUGUUAAAGUGCCCAGCCAAACCUGAUGGCAAUUAACGAUGAGGGUUGCGCUCGUUGCGGGACUUAACCCAACAUCUCACGACACGAGCUGACGACAGCCAUGCAGCACCUGUGCGGACGCCACCCGAAGUGAAAGAUAUCAUCUCUGAUACCUAUACGUCCCAUGUCAAGAGCUGGUAAGGUUCUGCGCGUUGCUUCGAAUUAAACCACAUACUCCACCGCUUGUGCGGGUCCCCGUCAAUUCCUUUGAGUUUUAAUCUUGCGACCGUACUCCCCAGGCGGAAUACUUAAUGCGUUAGCUGCGACACUGAUCAUAUGACCAACAUCUAGUAUUCAUCGUUUACAGCGUGGACUAC